GGGUCAAGAAAAGAAGAACGGCAAAAAUUGAGGAUUGUAGACUUGAGAGCCAAGUUAGGGAUCACAGUAGAGAAAUCAGGAACAGAGCCAUCAGGAAGAACAGGGGUAAAAGAAAGUGAUUUGCAGGCAUGAACACAAUGACGCUCAAAAGUAUGGCCUGAAGAAACGAUUACAGGGUCAGCCAUGAGAGAACCAGAAAUAGGACAGACAAAUUCUAUAGGAAUAGGAGGUUGUUUUGAUGGAGACUUGUGAAAUGAAAUUCUCCAUCUUUGCUUGCUAGUACCCAUUUCAA
RNAcentral lists this unclassified non-coding RNA (292 nucleotides) under Hevea brasiliensis (rubber tree). The record is from RNAcentral. Lineage: Eukaryota; Viridiplantae; Streptophyta; Magnoliopsida; Malpighiales; Euphorbiaceae.